This 492-nucleotide ribosomal RNA is filed under the name uncultured bacterium. RNAcentral describes it as "partial 16S ribosomal RNA". It matches the Rfam family "Bacterial small subunit ribosomal RNA", at positions 29 to 507 of the family's 1533-position model. The record is from RNAcentral.
AGUGAACGCUGGCGGUAGGCCUAACACAUGCAGGUCGAACGGCAGCACAGUAAGAGCUUGCUCUUACGGGUGGCGAGUGGCGGACGGGUGAGGAAUACAUCGGAAUCUACUUUUUCGUGGGGGAUAACGUAGGGAAACUUACGCUAAUACCGCAUACGACCUACGGGUGAAAGCAGGGGAUCUUCGGACCUUGCGCGAUUGAAUGAGCCGAUGUCGGAUUAGCUAGUUGGCGGGGUAAAGGCCCACCAAGGCGACGAUCCGUAGCUGGUCUGAGAGGAUGAUCAGCCACCCUGGAACUGAGACACGGUCCAGACUCCUACGGGAGGCAGCAGUGGGGAAUAUUGGACAAUGGGCGCAAGCCUGAUCCAGCCAUACCGCGUGGGUGAAGAAGGCCUUCGGGUUGUAAAGCCCUUUUGUUGGGAAAGAAAAGCAGCAGGUUAAUACCCCGCUGUUCUGACGGUACCCAAAGAAUAAGCACCGGCUAACUUCGUG